UGUCCUAUGGUGUAAUGGUAGCACACCAGAUUUUGGUUCUGUUUGUCUUGGUUCGAGUCCAGGUAGGACAA
This 71-nucleotide transfer RNA is filed under the name Bacteroidales bacterium. Its description in RNAcentral is "tRNA-Gln". It matches the Rfam family "tRNA". From Rfam's summary of the family: Transfer RNA (tRNA) molecules are approximately 80 nucleotides in length. The record is from RNAcentral. Lineage: Bacteria; Pseudomonadati; Bacteroidota; Bacteroidia; Bacteroidales.